This 407-nucleotide ribosomal RNA is filed under the name uncultured prokaryote. RNAcentral's name for it is "bacterial SSU rRNA". It matches the Rfam family "Bacterial small subunit ribosomal RNA", at positions 355 to 776 of the family's 1533-position model. The record is from RNAcentral.
UGGGGAAUAUUGGGCAAUGGGGGAAACCCUGACCCAGCGACGCCGCGUGAGGGAAGACGGCCUUCGGGUUGUAAACCUCUUUUGUACGGGAAGAAGGAAGUGACGGUACUGUACGAAUAAGUCCCGGCUAACUACGUGCCAGCAGCCGCGGUAAUACGUAGGGGGCGAGCGUUGUCCGGAAUGAUUGGGCGUAAAGGGCGCGUAGGCGGCCGAGCAAGUCAGUAGUGGAAGUCCAAUUUUCAAGGUUGGAAGUGCUAUUGAAACUGCAGGGCUUGAGUGCAGGAGAGGUUAUCGGAAUUCCCGGUGUAGCGGUGAAAUGCGUAGAGAUCGGGAGGAACACCAGUGGCGAAGGCGGGUAACUGGACUGCAACUGACGCUGAGGCGUGAAAGUGUGGGGAGCAAACAGG